UCCCCUCCAUACCACCUCCUCCUGAUACCCCCGGCCCGAGACCCCGAAAUCCCUCCUCGCCCGCCACGGCUCUUGGAGCAGCAGUCUUGCCCCACAACCCUGUCCGCAACCGGGCCCCGGGAGCCGCUGCCGGGACGGCAGCUCCCGCCUCCCUCCACCGGCGGCGCCAGGUGCGAGCGCCGCAGGCCCGGCCCGCCCAGCGCUGCCCCUGGCCCGCUCCAGCCCAGGCAAACAGCGGUGGCCUCGCAGUGCCGAGCCCAGAAGGUUCAGGCAGCAGAUCGCCGUACGCUGCCCACAGCAGAGCUCGCCGGCUACCCGCAGCUGCCACGCUUUACAUUGCUGGAAACCGCAGCAGGGAGUACUGCCUGCAUUUAAACAACAGGGAAACUUUCCUGACCUGGAGGAGACAGACAGAUACAAAAAAGUUGAAGAGCAUCAUGGAGAAUGUAGUUUAUGGGAAUGAUACAAGGUAUGCAGGUACUGCUGACCCUGCCUUUCAAAGUAGAAACAUGCUUGCUGUGUAUUAGCUCUAUGGGCUCCAAAACAAGAGGACAGAUUACUACUAGCAAAACAACAGGCCUUGCUCCACCACUGCACACUCACAAUCAUCUGCUGGAAUAGACCAUGUAUGCUGCAAGGGAAAACUACACUGGAAUUAAGUUUCAAGUCAUGUUAAUUAGAGGAACUGAAUAAAAAGAAUC
This is a long non-coding RNA of Calypte anna (Anna's hummingbird), 701 nucleotides long. RefSeq lists it as uncharacterized. The transcript is spliced from 4 exons. NCBI's taxonomy places the organism in Eukaryota, Metazoa, Chordata, Aves, Apodiformes, Trochilidae. The record is from RefSeq and is a predicted model, not a curated record.